RNAcentral lists this ribosomal RNA (480 nucleotides) under uncultured bacterium. RNAcentral describes it as "bacterial SSU rRNA". It matches the Rfam family "Bacterial small subunit ribosomal RNA", at positions 328 to 793 of the family's 1533-position model. The record is from RNAcentral.
UCAGUCGACUCCUACGGGGAGGCAGCAGUGGGGAAUAUUGCACAAUGGGGGAAACCCUGAUGCAGCCAUGCCGCGUGUGUGAAGAAGGCCUUCGGGUUGUAAAGCACUUUCAGUAGGGAGGAAGGUAGUGUAGUUAACACCUGCACUAUUUGACGUUACCUACAGAAGAAGCACCGGCUAACUCCGUGCCAGCAGCCGCGGUAAUACGGAGGGUGCGAGCGUUAAUCGGAAUUACUGGGCGUAAAGCGCAUGCAGGCGGCCUGUUAAGUCAGAUGUGAAAGACCCGGGGCGUUAAACCUCGGAAAUUGCAUUUGAAACUGGCAGGCUAGAGUCUUGUAGAGGGGGGUAGGAAUUUCAGGUGUAGCGGUGAAAUGCGUAGAGAUCUGAAGGAAUACCAGUGGCGAAGGCGGCCCCCUGGACAAAGACUGACGCUCAGAUGCGAAAGCGUGGGGAGCAAACAGGAUUAGAUACCCCUGGUAG